GCCAGGCAUGGUGGUGGAUGCCUGUAAUCCCAGCUACUUGGGAGGCUGAGACAGGAGAAUCACUUGAACCCGGGAGGUGGAAGUUGCAGUGAGCUGAGGCUGCACCACUGCACUCCAGCCUAGGUGACAAAGUGAGACUCUGUCUCAA
Molecule: small RNA, 148 nt
Filed under: Callithrix jacchus (white-tufted-ear marmoset)
Lineage: Eukaryota; Metazoa; Chordata; Mammalia; Primates; Cebidae
Description: Metazoan signal recognition particle RNA (ENSCJAG00000071619.1)
Source: Rfam by way of RNAcentral